UGGGGUGAAUGGAUGGGUGACUGUGCAGUGGGUGCAUUGCAGCAUAUCUCUGUUAACGGGCUUUUCUUUGGAUAGAGUAACGGAGGUGAAAACUUCGCAGCUCCAUAUUGAGUGCCUGCCAGAUCCCUCUUUAGCUAUAAAUGCCCAGAGUAGGUGGGGCAGAUGGCUAUGGAGACACAGGCUUGAAGUCACAUGAUAAAUCAAUCAAGGGCCCAGAGAACAAAGUCCACUUUUCCUGAUCCCAGAGGCACUGUGUUAGGUCAGGUGCAUGGUGCUGCUUUCCAGAUGACUGCACAGUCCGUGUGGGCCCCUCCGUGAGCAUGUCCCUCUCCUGGAUGGUGAACGAGACAGGAGCGAUGACCCACAACCAACAGAUGGAGUGUUUGGGGAGCACGUCCAGUAGGAGCAGCUCUCUUGGCUCCCAGCUUGGGACUUCAGGUCACAGUGACAACUGCGUGUGGAGGAAACGGCGACCACACCCUGCUCUCCCAUCCCUCGGACAAAAUUCCAGCUCGCGUUGCUCACCUCCCGGAUGAUCUGUCAACGGCCUUUCGGGAACCUGAAUGACCAUAGCGUCAGACAGAAGAGCUUCGUGUUGGGACUGGAGGCGCAUCAGAGAGUCUGGGACCCCUGUGCCACUUAUGCCGGAGAGGAUGCGAUUAGUGCCACAAGAAAAUGCCUCAGAUCCAACGAUGUUGACAAACUAAUUCCUUAAAAAAUAGAUGGUGUCUUCUUUGGGACAUAAGACAUCUUAGAUGCGGUGUCGAGUAGUAUUUUGGAUCUUUAUUUUUGUUUGUAAACUCUUCUUCCACAUGUGGUUUUCGGUCUACUUACAAAGAUCUUACGAUGCAGAAGAAAAAGCAGUUGUGAGCGUUAGAGGGGACAUAAAACAAAGGGUCAAAUCAGCGAUGCAGAAACCAGGAGAGGGCCAAUGCCUGCCUACUUACCGACGGACGAACACAGAGCAGCAGCCAUCAGUGGGCACGUGACUCCCAAGGCAGAGGUCUCCUCGGCUCUGUUGGUGAGCUUGUUGGACACCCGCCUACAUUUGCCUACGGAUUUUUUUCAGAAAGGACAGAAAUACUCCUACCUGUACCCUCACUGCUGUGCGUAUAUCCUUAGGGGCACACCCUACCAUUUUAGUGCGAAUUUUCAGGAAUCUUGUCGGGGAGAGCUGGUGCUUGAGGGAAGAAAGAAACGUGCUGGAAGAAGACAGAAGGAGGACAGAGACUACACCUGUUGUUCUGGACUGCAGCUGGAGUUGGAAAGGAAAUUUAUUUCCACGAAUGGAGAAGUGUCAGAGUGA
Molecule: long non-coding RNA, 1306 nt
Filed under: Felis catus (domestic cat)
Lineage: Eukaryota; Metazoa; Chordata; Mammalia; Carnivora; Felidae
Description: lncRNA (ENSFCAG00000052568.1)
Source: RNAcentral